AGAAAAUUUCAAGGGGAAACCAACAUUUCUUACAAUUUCUUCUAUGUAAAUAUAUAAGUUAACCCAUAUGCAAAAUUAAUAAAGAUUACUAAAGGGCAUAGCAAGUAGGCAAAGGUACCUAAUAGGUAAAAUUAAUAAAGAUUACUUCAAAAUUCAAUCUCACAAAACUCAACCAUUACCAAAAAAGGGCAUAGCAAGUAGGCAAAGGUACCUAAUAGGUAAAAUUAAUAAAGAUUACUUCAAAAUUCAAUCUCACAAAACUCAACCAUUACCAAAAAAGGGCAUAGCAAGUAGGCAAAUGUACAUAUACAAAAAUCCCAUAUGCAAUAUGAAGAAAAUACCUUCAAAUUUGUUCUUCAGUGAUAAUCGUAUACAAAAAUGCUGUACAAAACAAAUUUAGUAGUUUUAGUUUGAAUUCUCAAUUCAAAGUUACAUAAACAAAAUCAAAUCGCUUACCGGAUAGAAAAAGAUUGAGGAAGUGAGAGAAUUGGAGAAUGUUUUGAAGAGAGAUGGGGGAGGGAGAUAGCUGCUGCAACUAGUUUGUAGUUUCUACCUCCCAAACUAAUUAAGUGAUGUAAAAAAAGGUCGUUGACUUUGCGCGACACAAGUCGUUGACUUUGCGCGAUGCCACCUACGUCACGCAAAACAGCUUUGUGCGAUGCAUUUUUUGCAUGACGCUGGUGAACGUGCGUCACACAAAGCUGUUUUGCGUGAUGUAGAUGGCCUUGUGUCGUGCAAAGUCACCGAAAAAACCAGCAAAGCCAUCUUG
RNAcentral lists this long non-coding RNA (769 nucleotides) under Malus domestica (apple). Its description in RNAcentral is "long non-coding RNA (MDOM_LNC004534)". Lineage: Eukaryota; Viridiplantae; Streptophyta; Magnoliopsida; Rosales; Rosaceae. The record is from RNAcentral.